AGAGUUUGAUCAUGGCUCAGGAUAAACGCUGGCGGCGUGCAUAACACAUUCAAGUCGAACGGACGAUACGAGAAACUUCGGUUUUUGUAAAGUUAGUGGCGGACGGGUGAGUAACGCGUGAGCAAUCUGCCUUUGAUAGAGGGAUAACACAUGGAAACGUGUGCUAAUACCGCAUAACGUUAAAGAACCGCAUGAUUCUUUAACCAAAGCUCCGGCGAUCAAAGAUGAGCUCGCGUCCGAUUAGCUAGUUGGCAGGGUAAAGGCCUACCAAGGCGACGAUCGGUAGCCGGACUGAGAGGUUGAACGGCCACAUUGGAACUGAGAACGGUCCAGACUCCUACGGGAGGCAGCAGUGGGGAAUAUUGGGCAAUGGAGGCAACUCUGAACCCCCAGCGACGCCGCGUGAAGGAAGAAGGUCUUCGGAUUGUAAACUUUAGUUAUCAGGGACGAAGGAAGUGACGGUACCUGAAGAGAAAGCCACGGCUAACUACGUGCCAGCAGCAGC
This 505-nucleotide ribosomal RNA is filed under the name uncultured bacterium. RNAcentral's name for it is "bacterial SSU rRNA". It matches the Rfam family "Bacterial small subunit ribosomal RNA", at positions 8 to 518 of the family's 1533-position model. The record is from RNAcentral.